ACCUUGCAUAAUUAUGGUGAUUCAUUGA
RNAcentral lists this small RNA (28 nucleotides) under Bombyx mori (domestic silkworm). RNAcentral's name for it is "ovarian small RNA-11394". The record is from RNAcentral. Lineage: Eukaryota; Metazoa; Arthropoda; Insecta; Lepidoptera; Bombycidae.